This 476-nucleotide ribosomal RNA is filed under the name uncultured bacterium. RNAcentral's name for it is "partial 16S ribosomal RNA". It matches the Rfam family "Bacterial small subunit ribosomal RNA", at positions 899 to 1397 of the family's 1533-position model. The record is from RNAcentral.
ACUCAAAGGAAUAGACGGGGGCCCGCACAAGCAGCGGAGCGUGUGGUUUAAUUCGAUGCAACGCGAAGAACCUUACCUGGGCUUGACAUGACGGUGUAAGGGCUGGAAACAGCCCCCCCUUCGGGCACCGCCACAGAUGUUGCAUGGCUGUCGUCAGCUCGUGUCGUGAGAUGUUGGGUUAAGUCCCGCAACGAGCGCAACCCUCGUGGUCUGUUGCACAUCAGGCCAGACUGCCUCUCAACGAGGAGGAAGGUGGGGAUGACGUCAAGUCCGCAUGGCUCUUACGUCCAGGGCUACACACACGCUACAAUGGCCGGUACAAUGGGCAGCCACGGUGCGAACCGGAGCGAAUCCCCAAAGCCGGUCUCAGUUCGGAUACCAGGCUGCAACUCGCCUGGUUGAAGUCGGAGUUGCUAGUAACCGCGUGUCAGCAUAGCGCGGUGAAUAUGUUCCCGGGCCUUGCACACACCGCCCGU